Molecule: ribosomal RNA, 426 nt
Filed under: uncultured Gammaproteobacteria bacterium
Lineage: Bacteria; Pseudomonadati; Pseudomonadota; Gammaproteobacteria
Description: bacterial SSU rRNA
Rfam family: Bacterial small subunit ribosomal RNA
Source: RNAcentral
GGGGGAAAUUGGAGAAUGGGGGAAAACCCGAUGCAGCCAUGCCGCGUGUGUGAAGAAAGGGUUCGGAGUGUUAAGCACCUUAAGUUGGGGGGAAGGGGUGCAAGGUAAUAUCUUGUAGUCUUGACGGUAACAGCAGAAUAAGCACCCGCUUACUUUGUGCCAGCAGCCGCGGUAAUACGAAGGGUGCAAGCGUUAAUCGGAAUUACUGGGCGUAAAGCGCGCGUAGGUGGUUUGGUAAGAUGGAUGUGAAAUCCCCGGGCUCAACCUGGGAACUGCAUCCAUAACUGCCUGACUAGAGUACGGUAGAGGGUGGUGGAAUUUCCUGUGUAGCGGUGAAAUGCGUAGAUAUAGGAAGGAACAUCAGUGGCGAAGGCGACCACCUGGACUGAUACUGACACUGAGGUGCGAAAGCGUGGGGAGCAAACA